GACGAACGCUGGCGGCGUGCCUAAUACAUGCAAGUAGAACGCUGAAGAGAGGAGCUUGCUCUUCUUGGAUGAGUUGCGAACGGGUGAGUAACGCGUAGGUAACCUGCCUUGUAGCGGGGGAUAACUAUUGGAAACGAUAGCUAAUACCGCAUAACAAUGGAUGACACAUGUCAUUUAUUUGAAAGGGGCAAUUGCUCCACUACAAGAUGGACCUGCGUUGUAUUAGCUAGUAGGUGAGGUAACGGCUCACCUAGGCGACGAUACAUAGCCGACCUGAGAGGGUGAUCGGCCACACUGGGACUGAGACACGGCCCAGACUCCUACGGGAGGCAGCAGUAGGGAAUCUUCGGCAAUGGGGGCAACCCUGACCGAGCAACGCCGCGUGAGUGAAGAAGGUUUUCGGAUCGUAAAGCUCUGUUGUAAGUCAAGAACGAGUGUGAGAGUGGAAAGUUCACACUGUGACGGUAGCUUACCAGAAAGGGACGGCUAACUACGUGCCAACAGCCGCGGUAAUACGUAGGUCCCGAGCGUUGUCCGGAUUUAUUGGGCGUAAAGCGAGCGCAGGCGGUUUGAUAAGUCUGAAGUUAAAGGCUGUGGCUCAACCAUAGUUCGCUUUGGAAACUGUCAAACUUGAGUGCAGAAGGGGAGAGUGGAAUUCCAUGUGUAGCGGUGAAAUGCGUAGAUAUAUGGAGGAACACCGGUGGCGAAAGCGGCUCUCUGGUCUGUAACUGACGCUGAGGCUCGAAAGCGUGGGGAGCGAACAGGAUUAGAUACCCUGGUAGUCCACGCCGUAAACGAUGAGUGCUAGGUGUUGGAUCCUUUCCGGGAUUCAGUGCCGCAGCUAACGCAUUAAGCACUCCGCCUGGGGAGUACGACCGCAAGGUUGAAACUCAAAGGAAUUGACGGGGGCCCGCACAAGCGGUGGAGCAUGUGGUUUAAUUCGAAGCAACGCGAAGAACCUUACCAGGUCUUGACAUCCCGAUGCUAUUUCUAGAGAUAGAAAGUUACUUCGGUACAUCGGUGACAGGUGGUGCAUGGUUGUCGUCAGCUCGUGUCGUGAGAUGUUGGGUUAAGUCCCGCAACGAGCGCAACCCCUAUUGUUAGUUGCCAUCAUUCAGUUGGGCACUCUAGCGAGACUGCCGGUAAUAAACCGGAGGAAGGUGGGGAUGACGUCAAAUCAUCAUGCCCCUUAUGACCUGGGCUACACACGUGCUACAAUGGUUGGUACAACGAGUUGCGAGUCGGUGACGGCAAGCUAAUCUCUUAAAGCCAAUCUCAGUUCGGAUUGUAGGCUGCAACUCGCCUACAUGAAGUCGGAAUCGCUAGUAAUCGCGGAUCAGCACGCCGCGGUGAAUACGUUCCCGGGCCU
RNAcentral lists this ribosomal RNA (1369 nucleotides) under uncultured bacterium. RNAcentral describes it as "bacterial SSU rRNA". It matches the Rfam family "Bacterial small subunit ribosomal RNA", at positions 28 to 1381 of the family's 1533-position model. The record is from RNAcentral.